This 498-nucleotide ribosomal RNA is filed under the name Weinlandipoma gonavense. RNAcentral describes it as "partial 16S ribosomal RNA". It matches the Rfam family "Bacterial large subunit ribosomal RNA", at positions 1881 to 2597 of the family's 2925-position model. Lineage: Eukaryota; Metazoa; Mollusca; Gastropoda; Littorinimorpha; Pomatiidae. The record is from RNAcentral.
GUCUCNUUGNUGUUUUAAUAUAAAGAGUUUAACCUNACCCGGNGAUGUAUAUUUAACGGCCGCAGUACUUUGACUGUGCAAAGGUAGCAUAAUUAUUUGCCUUGUAAUUGAAGGCUUGUAUGAAUGGUUUGACGAAAAUAAAUCUGUCUUAAUUUAAUUUUUUAAAAUUUAACUUUUAAGUGAAGAGGCUUUUAUUCUAUUAAUAGACAAGAAGACCCUGUCGAGCUUAAAUUUUUAUUAAUAAAUAUAUAAUUUUAGAUUGUUUUUAGAUUUUAGUUGGGGUGACUGAGGAAGUAUAUUAGUUUCCUUAAUUAUUUUUGAGUUUAUUAAUUUUGAUCCAUUUUUAAUGAUUGGUAGAAUUAGUUACCGCAGGGAUAACAGCAUAAUCUUUUUUGAGAGUUCAUAUCGAAAAAUGGGUUUGUGACCUCGAUGUUGGAUUAAAGUGUCCUGAGGGUGCAGAAAUUUUUAAGGGUUAGUCUGUUCGACUAUUAAAACUUU